This 655-nucleotide ribosomal RNA is filed under the name uncultured bacterium. Its description in RNAcentral is "bacterial SSU rRNA". It matches the Rfam family "Bacterial small subunit ribosomal RNA", at positions 8 to 653 of the family's 1533-position model. The record is from RNAcentral.
AGAGUUUGAUCCUGGCUCAGAACGAACGCUGGCGGCGUGCCUAACACAUGCAAGUCGAGCGCGAAGGCCCCUUCGGGGGUUAGUAGAGCGGCGCACGGGUGAGUAACACGUGGCUAACCUGCCCUUCAGUCUGGGAUAACUCGGGGAAACUCGGGCUAAUACCGGAUACGUCCCACGGGAGAAAGCGGGGGCCCUCUUCGGAGGCCUCGCACUGAAGGAUGGGGCCGCGGUCCAUCAGGUAGUUGGUGGGGUAAUGGCCUACCAAGCCUAAGACGGAUAGCUGGUCUGAGAGGAUGAUCAGCCACACUGGAACUGAGACACGGUCCAGACUCCUACGGGAGGCAGCAGUGGGGAAUCUUGCGCAAUGGGGGAAACCCUGACGCAGCAACGCCGUGUGUGCGAUGAAGGCCCUCGGGUCGUAAAGCACUGUUCACGGGAAAGAUGGGUGCGCACAUUAAUAGUGUGCGUGCUUGACGGUACCCGUAGAGGAAGCACCGGCUAACUCUGUGCCAGCAGCCGCGGUAAUACAGAGGGUGCAAGCGUUGUUCGGAAUUAUUGGGCGUAAAGCGCGCGUAGGCGACCCAUCAAGUCGGAUGUGAAAGCCCGGGGCUCAACCCCGGAAGUGCAUCCGAAACUGGUUGGCUUGAAUCCUGGA